ACUGCUCAGUAACACGUGGAUAACCUGCCCAAGGGUCUGGGAUAACCCCGGGAAACUGGGGAUAAUACCGGAUGGAUCACUAGUGCUGGAAUGCUUGGUGGUCGAAAGGUAACGCCUUUGGAUGGGUCUGCGGCGGAUUAGGUUGACGCCGGUGUAACGUACCGGCGUGCCUGUAAUCCGUACGGGUUGUGGGAGCAAGAGCCCGGAGAUGGAUUCUGAGACACGAAUCCAGGCCCUACGGGGCGCAGCAGGCGCGAAAACUCUACAAUGCAGGCAACUGCGAUAGGGGAACAUCGAGUGGCGUCCAUAUUGGAUGUCUGUCCUCCCGCCUAAAAAGCGGGAGUUAGCAAGGGCCGGGCAAGACCGGUGCCAGCCGCCGCGGUAAUACCGGCGGCUCGAGUGGUGGCCGAUAUUAUUGAGUCUAAAGGGUCCGUAGCCGGCUUUGCAAGUCUCUCGGGAAAUCCAGCGGCUUAACCGUUGGUCGUCCGGGAGAUACUACAUUGCUUGGGACUGGGAGAGGUAAGAGGUACUCAGGGGGUAGGAGUGAAAUCCUGUAAUCCUUUGGGGACCACCGGUGGCGAAGGCGUCUUACCAGAACAGGUCCGACGGUGAGGGACGAAAGCUAGGGGCACGAACCGGAUUAGAUACCCGGGUAGUCCUAGCCGUAAACGAUGCUCGCUAGGUGUCACAACAAUCGUGAAUUGUUGUGGUGCCGUAGGGAAGCCGUGAAGCGAGCCACUUGGGAAGUACGACCGCAAGGUUGAAACUUAAAGGAAUUGGCGGGGGAGCAC
Molecule: ribosomal RNA, 791 nt
Filed under: uncultured archaeon
Lineage: Archaea
Description: bacterial SSU rRNA
Rfam family: Archaeal small subunit ribosomal RNA
Source: RNAcentral